UGUGACCUCAAAUCAGGUAGGACUACCCGCUGAACUUAAGCAUAUCAAUAAGCGGAGGAAAAGAAACUAACAAGGAUUCCCCUAGUAACUGCGAGUGAAGCGGGAAAAGCUCAAAUUUAAAAUCUGGCAGUCCUUUAACUGCCCGAGUUGUAAUCUAGAGAAGUGUUAUCUGCGCUGGAC
RNAcentral lists this ribosomal RNA (180 nucleotides) under Aureonarius infucatus. RNAcentral's name for it is "Cortinarius infucatus partial 28S ribosomal RNA". It matches the Rfam family "Eukaryotic large subunit ribosomal RNA", at positions 1 to 175 of the family's 3401-position model. Lineage: Eukaryota; Fungi; Basidiomycota; Agaricomycetes; Agaricales; Cortinariaceae. The record is from RNAcentral.